This 465-nucleotide ribosomal RNA is filed under the name uncultured bacterium. RNAcentral's name for it is "partial 16S ribosomal RNA". It matches the Rfam family "Bacterial small subunit ribosomal RNA", at positions 28 to 507 of the family's 1533-position model. The record is from RNAcentral.
GACGAACGCUGGCGGCGUGCUUAACACAUGCAAGUCGAACGGAAAGGCCCUGCUUGCAGGGUACUCGAGUGGCGAACGGGUGAGUAACACGUGGGUGAUCUGCCCUGCACUUCGGGAUAAGCCUGGGAAACUGGGCCUAAUACCGGAUAGGAGCCAUUUUUAGUGUGAUGGUUGGAAAGUUUUUUCGGUGUAGGAUGAGCUCGCGGCCUAUCAGCUUGUUGGUGGGGUAAUGGCCUACCAAGGCGGCGACAGGUAGCCGGCCUGAGAGGGUGGACGGCCACAUUGGGACUGAGGUACGGCCCAGACUCCUACGGGAGGCAGCAGUGGGGAAUAUUGCACAAUGGGCGCAAGCCUGAUGCAGCGACGCCGCGUGGGGGAUGACGGCCUUCGGGUUGUAAACGCCUUUCGCUAGGGACGAAGCUUUUUGUGACGGUACCUAGAUAAGAAGCACCGGCUAACUACGUG